UACGUAGGUGGCAAGCGUUGUCCGGAUUUACUGGGCGUAAAGCGUGUGUAGGCGGACCUUUAAGUAGAAGGUGAAAGGUAGGAGCUCAACUCCUACAUUGCUCUCUAUACUGGAGGUCUUGAGUGUCGGAGAGGAAGAUGGAACUGCACGUGUAGCGGUGAAAUGCGUUGAGAUGUGCAGGAACACCAAUGGCGAAGGCAAUCUUCUGGACGAAAACUGACGCUGAGACACGAAAGCCAAGGUAGCAAACAGG
RNAcentral lists this ribosomal RNA (253 nucleotides) under uncultured bacterium. RNAcentral describes it as "partial 16S ribosomal RNA". It matches the Rfam family "Bacterial small subunit ribosomal RNA", at positions 524 to 776 of the family's 1533-position model. The record is from RNAcentral.